RNAcentral lists this ribosomal RNA (253 nucleotides) under uncultured bacterium. RNAcentral describes it as "partial 16S ribosomal RNA". It matches the Rfam family "Bacterial small subunit ribosomal RNA", at positions 524 to 776 of the family's 1533-position model. The record is from RNAcentral.
UACGUAGGGUGCAAGCGUUGUCCGGAAUUAUUGGGCGUAAAGAGCUUGUAGGCGGUCUGUCGCGUCUGCUGUGAAAAUCCGGGGCUCAACCCCGGACUUGCAGUGGGUACGGGCAGACUAGAGUGUGGUAGGGGAGACUGGAAUUCAUGGUGUAGCAGUGAAAUGCGUAGAGAUCAUGAGGAAGACCAGUGGCGAAGGCGGGUCUCUGGACAGUUCCUGACACUGAGGCACGAAGGCCAGGGGAGCAAACGGG